This 468-nucleotide ribosomal RNA is filed under the name uncultured bacterium. RNAcentral's name for it is "partial 16S ribosomal RNA". It matches the Rfam family "Bacterial small subunit ribosomal RNA", at positions 28 to 507 of the family's 1533-position model. The record is from RNAcentral.
GACGAACGCUGGCGGCGUGCUUAACACAUGCAAGUCGAACGGUGAAGCUCCAGCUUGCUGGAGUGGAUCAGUGGCGAACGGGUGAGUAACACGUGAGCAACCUGCCCCUGACUCUGGAAUAAGCGCUGGAAACGGCGUCUAAUACUGGAUACGAGAAGGGUCCGCAUGGGCACUUUCUGGAAAGUUUUUCGGUUGGGGAUGGGCUCGCGGCCUAUCAGCUUGUUGGUGAGGUAAUGGCUCACCAAGGCGACGACGGGUAGCCGGCCUGAGAGGGCGACCGGCCACACUGGGACGGAGACGAGGCCCAGACUCCUACGGGAGGCAGAGGAGGAGAAGAGUGCACAAUGGGCGAAAGCCUGAUGCAGCGACGCCGCGUGGGGGAUGACGGCCUGCGGGUUGUAAACCUCUUUCAGCAGGGAAGAAGCGAAAGUGACGGUACCUGCAGAAGAAGCACCGGCUAACUACGUG